GACGAACGCUGGCGGCGUGCUUAACACAUGCAAGUCGAACGAUGAAGGAGAGCUUGCUCUCCGGAUUAGUGGCGAACGGGUGAGUAACACGUGACUAACCUGCCCCUUUCUCUGGGAUAACGCUCCGAAAGGAGUGCUAAUACCGGAUACGAACUCUGAACACAAGUUCGGAGUUGGAAAGUUUUUCGGAAAGGGAUGGAGUCGCGGCCUAUCAGCUUGUUGGUGAGGUAACGGCUCACCAAGGCGACGACGGGUAGCCGGCCUGAGAGGGCGACCGGCCACACUGGGACUGAGACACGGCCCAGACUCCUCCGGGAGGCAGCAGUGGGGAAUAUUGCACAAUGGGCGAAAGCCUGAUGCAGCGACGCCGCGUGAGGGAUGAAGGUCUUCGGAUUGUAAACCUCUUUCAGUAGGGACGAAGCGAAAGUGACGGUACCUAAAGAAGAAGCACCGGCUAACUACGUGCCAGCCGCCGCCGUAA
This 481-nucleotide ribosomal RNA is filed under the name uncultured bacterium. Its description in RNAcentral is "partial 16S ribosomal RNA". It matches the Rfam family "Bacterial small subunit ribosomal RNA", at positions 28 to 523 of the family's 1533-position model. The record is from RNAcentral.